Molecule: ribosomal RNA, 253 nt
Filed under: uncultured bacterium
Lineage: Bacteria
Description: partial 16S ribosomal RNA
Rfam family: Bacterial small subunit ribosomal RNA
Source: RNAcentral
GACGAACCGUGCGAACGUUGUUCGGAAUCACUGGGCUUAAAGGGCGCGUAGGCGGAUAUCCAAGUCAGGGGUGAAAUCUUUCAGCUUAACUGGAAAACGGCCUUUGAUACUGGAUGUCUGGAGUGAGGUAGGGGCAUGCGGAACUUCCGGUGGAGCGGUGAAAUGCGUAGAUAUCGGAAGGAACACCGGUGGCGAAGGCGGCGUGCUGGACCUCAACUGACGCUGAGGCGCGAAAGCCAGGGGAGCAAACGGG